Molecule: ribosomal RNA, 253 nt
Filed under: uncultured bacterium
Lineage: Bacteria
Description: partial 16S ribosomal RNA
Rfam family: Bacterial small subunit ribosomal RNA
Source: RNAcentral
UACGAAGGGGGCGAGCGUUGUUCGGAAUCACUGGGCGUAAAGGGCUCGUAGGCGGCCAACUAAGUCAGACGUGAAAUCCCUCGGCUUAACCGGGGAACUGCGUCUGAUACUGGAUGGCUUGAGGUUGGGAGAGGGAUGCGGAAUUCCAGGUGUAGCGGUGAAAUGCGUUGAUAUCAGGAGGAACACCCAUGGCGAAGGCAGCAAACUGGUCAUCAACUGACGCUGAGGCGCGAAAGCGUGGGUAGCAAACAGG